RNAcentral lists this ribosomal RNA (1363 nucleotides) under Salmonella enterica. Its description in RNAcentral is "partial 23S ribosomal RNA". It matches the Rfam family "Bacterial large subunit ribosomal RNA", at positions 1589 to 2925 of the family's 2925-position model. Lineage: Bacteria; Pseudomonadati; Pseudomonadota; Gammaproteobacteria; Enterobacterales; Enterobacteriaceae. The record is from RNAcentral. RNAcentral also lists the same sequence under 1 other name.
AGCAACAAAUGCCCUGCUUCCAGGAAAAGCCUCUAAGCAUCAGGUAACAUCAAAUCGUACCCCAAACCGACACAGGUGGUCAGGUAGAGAAUACCAAGGCGCUUGAGAGAACUCGGGUGAAGGAACUAGGCAAAAUGGUGCCGUAACUUCGGGAGAAGGCACGCUGACACGUAGGUGAAGUGAUUUACUCAUGGAGCUGAAGUCAGUCGAAGAUACCAGCUGGCUGCAACUGUUUAUUAAAAACACAGCACUGUGCAAACACGAAAGUGGACGUAUACGGUGUGACGCCUGCCCGGUGCCGGAAGGUUAAUUGAUGGGGUCAGCGCAAGCGAAGCUCCUGAUCGAAGCCCCGGUAAACGGCGGCCGUAACUAUAACGGUCCUAAGGUAGCGAAAUUCCUUGUCGGGUAAGUUCCGACCUGCACGAAUGGCGUAAUGAUGGCCAGGCUGUCUCCACCCGAGACUCAGUGAAAUUGAACUCGCUGUGAAGAUGCAGUGUACCCGCGGCAAGACGGAAAGACCCCGUGAACCUUUACUAUAGCUUGACACUGAACAUUGAGCCUUGAUGUGUAGGAUAGGUGGGAGGCUUUGAAGCGUGGACGCCAGUCUGCGUGGAGCCGACCUUGAAAUACCACCCUUUAAUGUUUGAUGUUCUAACGUGGACCCGUAAUCCGGGUUGCGGACAGUGUCUGGUGGGUAGUUUGACUGGGGCGGUCUCCUCCUAAAGAGUAACGGAGGAGCACGAAGGUUGGCUAAUCCUGGUCGGACAUCAGGAGGUUAGUGCAAUGGCAUAAGCCAGCUUGACUGCGAGCGUGACGGCGCGAGCAGGUGCGAAAGCAGGUCAUAGUGAUCCGGUGGUUCUGAAUGGAAGGGCCAUCGCUCAACGGAUAAAAGGUACUCCGGGGAUAACAGGCUGAUACCGCCCAAGAGUUCAUAUCGACGGCGGUGUUUGGCACCUCGAUGUCGGCUCAUCACAUCCUGGGGCUGAAGUAGGUCCCAAGGGUAUGGCUGUUCGCCAUUUAAAGUGGUACGCGAGCUGGGUUUAGAACGUCGUGAGACAGUUCGGUCCCUAUCUGCCGUGGGCGCUGGAGAACUGAGGGGGGCUGCUCCUAGUACGAGAGGACCGGAGUGGACGCAUCACUGGUGUUCGGGUUGUCAUGCCAAUGGCACUGCCCGGUAGCUAAAUGCGGAAGAGAUAAGUGCUGAAAGCAUCUAAGCACGAAACUUGCCCCGAGAUGAGUUCUCCCUGAGACUUAGAGUCUCCUGAAGGAACGUUGAAGACGACGACGUUGAUAGGCCGGGUGUGUAAGCGCAGCGAUGCGUUGAGCUAACCGGUACUAAUGAACCGUGAGGCUUAACCUUACA